Molecule: small nucleolar RNA, 117 nt
Organism: Hippocampus zosterae (dwarf seahorse)
Lineage: Eukaryota; Metazoa; Chordata; Actinopteri; Syngnathiformes; Syngnathidae
Product: small nucleolar RNA SNORA17
Exons: 1
Source: RefSeq, a predicted model, not a curated record
CACGCCCCUUGAGGCGUUGCAGCGCAGCCGCGCCCGUGUGGCAGCUGUGUCAGAAGGCGGCAAAGAGCGAAAGCCGGUCGACGGCAAUGAUGACGCUGCGUUUUAUUGACCGCCGAC